UACGGGGGGGGCAAGCGUUGUUCGGAAUUACUGGGCGUAAAGCGCGUGUAGGCUGCUCGGAAAGUCGGGUGUGAAAGCCCUGGGCUCAACCUAGGAAGUGCACUCGAAACUUCCGAGCUGGAGUGCUGGAGAGGAAGGCGGAAUUCUCGGUGUAGAGGUGAAAUUCGUAGAUAUCGAGAGGAACACCGGUGGCGAAGGCGGCCUUCUGGACAGCCACUGACGCUGAGACGCGAAAGCGUGGGGAGCAAACAGG
This 253-nucleotide ribosomal RNA is filed under the name uncultured bacterium. RNAcentral describes it as "partial 16S ribosomal RNA". It matches the Rfam family "Bacterial small subunit ribosomal RNA", at positions 524 to 776 of the family's 1533-position model. The record is from RNAcentral.